AUAACAGUAAGGUAGAUCCUUAUCUGUUAUGCUAUCUGUAGUGUAUCAGAUGACACAUGAUAAAUGGACUCCGAUGUGAUUAUCUCCAUUUUACAGAGAACAGCAACAACACUCUGUUAGACCCAUUCUGAU
Sphaeramia orbicularis (orbiculate cardinalfish) is the source of this 132-nucleotide small nucleolar RNA. Its record names the gene U8. It matches the Rfam family "U8 small nucleolar RNA". Rfam says of the family: U8 is a member of the C/D class of snoRNA which contain the C (UGAUGA) and D (CUGA) box motifs. U8 is the RNA component of a small complex (the U8 snoRNP) which is required for accumulation of mature large subunit ribosomal RNAs, 5.8S and 28S rRNAs. The record is from Ensembl. NCBI's taxonomy places the organism in Eukaryota, Metazoa, Chordata, Actinopteri, Kurtiformes, Apogonidae.